UGAGGAAUAUUGGUCAAUGGACGAAAGUCUGAACCAGCAACGCCGCGUGGAGGAAGAAGGCCUUCGGGUUGUAAACUCCUUUUACGGGGGAAAAGGCAGGAUGGUACCCCGGGAAUAAGUCACGGCUAACUACGUGCCAGCAGCCGCGGUAAUACGUAGGUGACAAGCGUUAUCCGGAAUUACUGGGCGUAAAGCGCACGCAAGCGGUUGGACAAGUCCUAUGUGAAAUCUUCUGGCUUAACCAGGAGCGGUCGUGGGAAACUGUCGAGCUUGAGGCGAUGAGAGGGAUGCAGAAUUCCAGGUGUAGUGGUGGAAUGCGUAGAUAUCUGGAGGAAUACCAGUGGCGAAAGCGGCAUCCUGGCAUCGGCCUGACGCACAGGUGCGAAAGCGUGGGGAGCGAACGGG
This 405-nucleotide ribosomal RNA is filed under the name uncultured bacterium. Its description in RNAcentral is "bacterial SSU rRNA". It matches the Rfam family "Bacterial small subunit ribosomal RNA", at positions 355 to 776 of the family's 1533-position model. The record is from RNAcentral.